UGAGGAAUAUUGGUCAAUGGGCGAGAGCCUGAACCAGCCAAGUAGCGUGCAGGAUGACUGCCCUAUGGGUUGUAAACUGCUUUUAUCAGGGAAUAAAGUGCGGCACGUGUGCCGUUUUGUAUGUACCUGAUGAAUAAGGACCGGCUAAUUCCGUGCCAGCAGCCGCGGUAAUACGGAAGGUCCGGGCGUUAUCCGGAUUUAUUGGGUUUAAAGGGAGCGCAGGCUGGAUUUUAAGCGUGUUGUGAAAUGUACCGGCUCAACCGGUGAUGUGCAGCGCGAACUGGAGUCCUUGAGUGAGUACGACGUCAGCGGAAUUCGUGGUGUAGCGGUGAAAUGCUUAGAUAUCACGAAGAACCCCGAUUGCGAAGGCAGCUGACGAGUCCUUAACUGACGCUAAAGCUCGAAAGUGCGGGUAUCGAACAGG
RNAcentral lists this ribosomal RNA (424 nucleotides) under uncultured bacterium. RNAcentral describes it as "bacterial SSU rRNA". It matches the Rfam family "Bacterial small subunit ribosomal RNA", at positions 355 to 776 of the family's 1533-position model. The record is from RNAcentral.